Molecule: microRNA precursor, 209 nt
Organism: Oryza sativa Japonica Group (Japanese rice)
Lineage: Eukaryota; Viridiplantae; Streptophyta; Magnoliopsida; Poales; Poaceae
Rfam family: MIR812 microRNA precursor family
Source: Rfam
AAUAAGUGAAGUUUUACACUAUUUAUUUUCAACGUUUGACCGUUUGUCUUAUUUUAAAAAAAUAUGAUUACUAUUUUUAUUAUUAUUAGAUGAUAAAAUAUGAAUAAUACUUUAUGUAUGACUAAUUUUUUUAAAAUUUUUCAUAAAUUUUUUAAAUAAAACGAAUGGUCAAACGUUGUUGGAUACGGAUUUCCACGGCUGCGCUUCUC